This 2324-nucleotide ribosomal RNA is filed under the name Gammaproteobacteria bacterium HGW-Gammaproteobacteria-3. RNAcentral describes it as "bacterial LSU rRNA". It matches the Rfam family "Bacterial large subunit ribosomal RNA", at positions 1 to 2531 of the family's 2925-position model. Lineage: Bacteria; Pseudomonadati; Pseudomonadota; Gammaproteobacteria. The record is from RNAcentral.
GUUAUAGGGUCAAGUGAAUAAGCGCAUACGGUGGAUGCCUAGGCGAUAAGAGGCGACGAAGGACGUAGUAGCAUGCGAUAAGCUGCGGGGAGUUUGCAAACUAACUUUGAUCCGCGGAUUUCCGAAUGGGGCAACCCAAUCAGGACAACCUGAUUAUCCUUAAGUGAAUACAUAGCUUAAGGAAGCGAACCCGGAGAACUGAAACAUCUAAGUACCCGGAGGAAAAGAAAUCAACCGAGAUUCCCCAAGUAGCGGCGAGCGAACCGGGACCAGCCGAGCAGCGACAGAUAGUGGAACAGACUGGAAAGUCCGGCCAUAGCGGGUGAUAGCCCCGUACACGAAAUCUGAAACUGACGUAUUAAGUAGGGCGGCGCACGUGAAACGCUGUCUGAAGAAGGGGGGACCAUCCUCCAAGGCUAAAUACUCCUUAUCGACCGAUAGUGAACCAGUACCGUGAGGGAAAGGCGAAAAGAACCGAGCAGUGGGAGCCCCUUCGUGGGGUGACUGCGUACCUUUUGUAUAAUGGGUCAGCGACUUACAUUUUGUGGCAAGCUUAACCGAAUAGGGGAGGCGUAGCGAAAGCGAGUCUGAACAGGGCGUUCAGUCGCAAGAUGUAGACCCGAAACCGGGCGAUCUAGCCAUGACCAGGCUGAAGGUUGGGUAAUACUAACUGGAGGGCCGAACCGGGAUCUGUUGAAAAAGAUUCGGAUGAGUUGUGGCUCGGAGUGAAAGGCUAAUCAAGCCCGGAGAUAGCUGGUUCUCCUCGAAAGCUAUUUAGGUAGCGCCUCGUGCGGACACUGUUGGGGGUAGAGCACUGUUUCGGCUAGGGGGUCAUCUCGACUUACCAACCCGAUGCAAACUCCGAAUACCAACAAGUAAUACACGGGAGACACACGGCGGGUGAUAAGGUCCGUCGUGAAAAGGGAAACAGCCCAGACCGUCAGCUGACAGCCAGGAGGUUGGCUUAGAAGCAGCCAUCCUUUAAAGAAAGCGUAAUAGCUCACUGGUCGAGUCGGUCUGCGCGGAAGAUUUACCGGGGCUAAGCUAUGUACCGAAGCUACGGAUCACGCGUAAGCGUGGUGGUAGAGGAGCGUUCCGUACGCCUGCGAAGGUGAACUGAGAAGUUUGCUGGAGGUAUCGGAAGUGCGAAUGCUGACAUGAGUAACGAUAAUGGGGGUGAAAAACCCCCACGCCGAAAACCCAAGGUUUCCUGCGCAACGCUAAUCGACGCAGGGUAAGUCGGCACCUAAGGCGAGGCCGAAAGGCGUAGUCGAUGGAAAACAGGUUAAUAUUCCUGUACCGGAAAUAACUGCGAUGGGGUGACGGAGAAGGCUAGGUCAGCUACCUGUUGGACGUGGUAGUUUAAGCGUGUAGGGAGAGAGUUUAGGCAAAUCCGGACUCUCAAUCCUGAGGCGUGAUGACGAGUUUCCUGUUAAGGAGACGAAGUGAUUGAUGCCAGGCUUCCAAGAAAAACCUCUAAGCUUCAGGUUAUUUGUGGCCGUACCCCAAACCGACACAGGUGGGUGGGAUGAGAAUUCUAAGGCGCUUGAGAGAACUCGGGUGAAGGAACUAGGCAAAAUGGUACCGUAACUUCGGGAGAAGGUACGCCUUUGGUAAGUGAAGCUCCUUGCGAGUGGAGCUGAAGAAGGCAGCAUUAAACUGGUGGCUGCGACUGUUUAGCAAAAACAUAGCACUCUGCAAACACGAAAGUGGACGUAAACGGCGGCCGUAACUAUAACGGUCCUAAGGUAGCGAAAUUCCUUGUCGGGUAAGUUCCGACCUGCACGAAUGGCGUAACGAUGGCCACACUGUCUCCACCCGAGACUCAGUGAAAUUGAAAUGGCUGUGAAGAUGCAGUGUACCCGCGGCUAGACGGAAAGACCCCGUGAACCUUUACUAUAGCUUGACACUGGACUUUGAACCUAUUUGUGUAGGAUAGGUGGGAGGCUGUGAAGCGAGGACGCCAGUCCUUGUGGAGCCACCCUUGAAAUACCACCCUGGUAUGUUCGGAGUUCUAACCUCGGCCCAUAAUCUGGGUUAGGGACAGUGUCUGGUGGGUAGUUUGACUGGGGCGGUCUCCUCCCAAAGAGUAACGGAGGAGCACGAAGGUGUGCUCAGCAUGGUCGGAAAUCAUGCAUUGAGUGUAAAGGCAAAAGCACGCUUGACUGCGAGAUAGACACAUCGAGCAGGUACGAAAGUAGGUCUUAGUGAUCCGGUGGUUCUGAAUGGAAGGGCCAUCGCUCAACGGAUAAAAGGUACUCCGGGGAUAACAGGCUGAUACCGCCCAAGAGUUCAUAUCGACGGCGGUGUUUGGCACCUCGAUG